This 322-nucleotide long non-coding RNA is filed under the name Elaeis guineensis (African oil palm). RNAcentral's name for it is "long non-coding RNA (EGUI_LNC053727)". Lineage: Eukaryota; Viridiplantae; Streptophyta; Magnoliopsida; Arecales; Arecaceae. The record is from RNAcentral.
GACUUAGGUUUGAACCUAUGAUGUCACACACAUUAGAGUUCAUGAUCCGAUCGGAUGGUUGAUCAAUGAUUAAGAAUCGUUCUAGGGUUAAAUGAUCAAUACGAUUGACAUUUAACCCAGUGCAAGUGUUGCAGGAGGAUCGAUUAGCAAUUUGAUUGCUAAUUGGCUUAAUUUGAUUAAGCCAAUGGGCUGAGAUUAAGUUUAAUUAAAUAUAUUUUAAUUAGAUUUAGUUUAGGCUUGAUUGGAUCAAGUCCAAUUGGUUUAUUGGAUAAGCCAAGUGCAAGAAAAAACUAGUCCUAGUUCAACUAGGUCUUGGGUCAAU